Molecule: ribosomal RNA, 472 nt
Filed under: uncultured bacterium
Lineage: Bacteria
Description: partial 16S ribosomal RNA
Rfam family: Bacterial small subunit ribosomal RNA
Source: RNAcentral
AUAAACGCUGGCGGCGCACAUAAGCCAUGCAAGUUGAACGGACUUAAUCGAAAUAUUUAUAUUUUGAAGCGGUUAGUGGCGGACUGGUGAGUAACGCGUAAGGAACCUGCCUAUUAGAGGGGAGUAACAGUGAGAAAUCAUUGCUAAUACCGCAUAUGCCAUAGAUAUCACAUGAUAACAGUGGGAAAGGAGCAAUCCGCUAAUAGAUGGCCUUGCGUCUGAUUAGAUAGUUGGUGGGGUAACGGCCUACCAAGUCGACGAUCAGUAGCCGGACUGAGAGGUUGAACGGCCACAUUGGGACUGAGAUACGGCCCAGACUCCUACGGGAGGCAGCAGUCGGGAAUAUUGCGCAAUGGAGGAAACUCUGACGCAGUGACGCCGCGUAUAGGAAGAAGGUUUUCGGAUUGUAAACUAUUGUCGUUAGGGAAGAGAAAGGACAGUACCUAAGGAGGAAGCUCCGGCUAACUACGUG